This is a non-coding RNA of Picea glauca (white spruce), 123 nucleotides long. NCBI's taxonomy places the organism in Eukaryota, Viridiplantae, Streptophyta, Pinopsida, Pinales, Pinaceae. The record is from Rfam.
AUGUACAUUCUUACAACAUAGCGUUAAUUCACCAGAUCCCAUUAGAAAUCCACAGUAAAGCACACCCGGGUUAAAGUAGUACUAGGAUGGGUGACUACCGGGGAAGUUCUAGUAUUUUACAUG